Molecule: ribosomal RNA, 498 nt
Filed under: uncultured bacterium
Lineage: Bacteria
Description: partial 16S ribosomal RNA
Rfam family: Bacterial small subunit ribosomal RNA
Source: RNAcentral
AAUGAACGCUAGCUACAGGCUUAACACAUGCAAGUCGAGGGGUAGCAGGGUAGCAAUACCGCUGACGACCGGCGCACGGGUGAGUAACACGUAUCCAACCUUCCCAUAACUCGGGGAUAGCCUUUCGAAAGAAAGAUUAAUACCCGAUAGUACUUUUUCAAGGCAUCUUGAGAAAGUUAAAGAUUUAUUGGUUAUGGAUGGGGAUGCGUUCCAUUAGAUAGUUGGUGAGGUAACGGCUCACCAAGUCUUCGAUGGAUAGGGGUUCUGAGAGGAAGGGCCCCCACAUUGGUACUGAGACACGAACCAAACUCCUACGGGAGGCAGCAGUGAGGAAUAUUGGUCAAUGGGCGAGAGCCUGAACCAGCCAAGUAGCGUGAAGGAUGAAGGUCCUAUGGAUUGUAAACUUCUUUUAUAGUAGAAUAAAGUGAUCCACGUGUGGAUUUUUGUAUGUAUACUAUGAAUAAGGAUCGGCUAACUCCGUGCCAGCCGCCGCAAUAA